UUUAAUUUUGUGGGAGAGAAAAGGCUCCCACAAGGCCAUGUAUUCGUCCCCCCCCUUGAAGGGUUAUUCGCCCCACUUGGGGACUGAGACCCGGCCCCAGAUUUCUUCGGGGAGGCAGCAGUAGGGAAUUCUUCCACAAUGGCCGCAAGUCUGAUGGAGCAACGCCGCGUGAAUGAAGAAGGGUUUCGGCUCGUAAAGCUCUGUUGUUAAAGAAGAACGUGGGUAAGAGUAACUGUUUACCCAGUGACGGUAUUUAACCAGAAAGCCACGGCUAACUACGUGCCAGCAGCCGCGGUAAUACGUAGGUGGCAAGCGUUAUCCGGAUUUAUUGGGCGUAAAGCGAGCGCAGGCGGUCUUUUAAGUCUAAUGUGAAAGCCUUCGGCUCAACCGAAGAAGUGCAUUGGAAACUGGGAGACUUGAGUGCAGAAGAGGACAGUGGAACUCCAUGUGUAGCGGUGAAAUGCGUAGAUAUAUGGAAGAACACCAGUGGCGAAGGCGGCUGUCUGGUCUGCAACUGACGCUGAGGCUCGAAAGCAUGGGUAGCGAACAGGAUUAGAUACCCUGGUAGUCCAUGCCGUAAACGAUGAUUACUAAGUGUUGGAGGGUUUCCGCCCUUCAGUGCUGCAGCUAACGCAUUAAGUAAUCCGCCUGGGGAGUACGACCGCAAGGUUGAAACUCAAAAGAAUUGACGGGGGCCCGCACAAGCGGUGGAGCAUGUGGUUUAAUUCGAAGCUACGCGAAGAACCUUACCAGGUCUUGACAUCUUCUGACAGUCUAAGAGAUUAGAGGUUCCCUUCGGGGACAGAAUGACAGGUGGUGCAUGGUUGUCGUCAGCUCGUGUCGUGAGAUGUUGGGUUAAGUCCCGCAACGAGCGCAACCCUUAUUACUAGUUGCCAGCAUUAAGUUGGGCACUCUAGUGAGACUGCCGGUGACAAACCGGAGGAAGGUGGGGACGACGUCAAAUCAUCAUGCCCCUUAUGACCUGGGCUACACACGUGCUACAAUGGAUGGUACAACGAGUCGCGAGACCGCGAGGUUAAGCUAAUCUCUUAAAACCAUUCUCAGUUCGGACUGUAGGCUGCAACUCGCCUACACGAAGUCGGAAUCGCUAGUAAUCGCGGAUCAGCAUGCCGCGGUGAAUACGUUCCCGGGCCUUGUACACACCGCCCGUCACACCAUGAGAGUUUGUAACACCCAAAGCCGGUGGGGUAACCUUUUAGGAGCUAGCCGUCUAAGUGACAGAGAUGGCU
This 1250-nucleotide ribosomal RNA is filed under the name Pediococcus pentosaceus. RNAcentral's name for it is "bacterial SSU rRNA". It matches the Rfam family "Bacterial small subunit ribosomal RNA", at positions 239 to 1476 of the family's 1533-position model. Lineage: Bacteria; Bacillati; Bacillota; Bacilli; Lactobacillales; Lactobacillaceae. The record is from RNAcentral.